GAUGCAUGAUUUUAGGAAAUAAAUAGCACAUGGAUGCUUACAUCGCUAUCGCUUAGCAGCCACUAAGGAAAGGUAUUGAAACGGGUCAAUAUAUUGAUCCGAGCCAGGUUCUUUUUGGAUGCCGGAAGACGAUCAAGCUCAUCGAAGGACCGAACACGAUAAAGAUACAUGCUUCCGCACAUUUCCUCGUCGCAAAAUUUUAAACGACAAAUUUGAUCACUUAUGUUGAAUAACUUAUGAUUUGUAAAAGUUUUAAUAAACUCGUAUUUUUAUAGUAUGUGUAAACUUGAUUACA
This is a long non-coding RNA of Helianthus annuus (common sunflower), 295 nucleotides long. RefSeq lists it as uncharacterized. The record is from RefSeq and is a predicted model, not a curated record. The transcript has 2 exons. NCBI's taxonomy places the organism in Eukaryota, Viridiplantae, Streptophyta, Magnoliopsida, Asterales, Asteraceae.